Aedes aegypti (yellow fever mosquito) is the source of this 808-nucleotide long non-coding RNA. RefSeq lists it as uncharacterized. Lineage: Eukaryota; Metazoa; Arthropoda; Insecta; Diptera; Culicidae. The transcript has 2 exons. The record is from RefSeq and is a predicted model, not a curated record.
CCGAUCACGACAUUCGUUCGAUCCUGCAAGUGUGACAAGGACAACAUCAUCCGCUGGUCUACCUGUUGUUGUUGUCCCGAAAAGGAAAAGCAGGAUAAUCGUACGCGCAACGCGAUUCGCGACCCUUGUCUGUCAGUUCGCAGUCAGUCGUUCGUUCCGUCAGUCAGUCAUCUCCGUUCGCUGCUCGCGGAAGUCGCGAAAAUUAAAGAGCAGCGCGUUCUUCUGCUAUUACCUAGAGUGUUCUUGGUUGAAGGAAUUUUAUUUUGAUUUUGGUGCGUUUCGUCCGUGUGCUGCAAAUUAUCUGUCCGAAGGUGUUUUCCCGGAGAUCGAGAAUCGAGACCGUGUUACGGAAUAAGUCGGUCUUUGCUUAGCGUUGAGUGAUUUUUUUUGUGCUUCUUUAUUCUCUGCGCGAGUGCGUUUUCGCAAAAUUCGAGACGAGACGUCCUUCACGCGAGCGCCGAAUGUGUGUGGGGGUUUCUCUUCGCCCCGUUGCCCAAUUAGAGUGGCCCAGCAGUGUCGGAAGAUCGAAUUGCGAUAGGUGUAGUUUUUUUGGCCUUCUAUCUCUCGAUACUGUGACGCAGGAAAAUCGGAGAUAAGUACCUACUGCGAGUGAUUGAUAAUAUCGGCCUUUGUAUCUGUAGGUACAACAUUCUGCGGGAAUUGAGGAAACCGAAAAAAAGUGACACAAAAAGUUGCGAUUGUGUGCGACGGCGCUGGUUGCUUUGCUCUUGGAGGUUUUUUAGAGCUGCUUUUGCGCGAGACAAGAGUCGUGUGUCAGUGUCGUGCAAUAUUUUUAUAUUCAACACAA